This 72-nucleotide transfer RNA is filed under the name Chrysemys picta bellii (western painted turtle). Its description in RNAcentral is "tRNA-Ala (TGC) (tRNA-Ala-TGC-8-1)". It matches the Rfam family "tRNA". Rfam says of the family: Transfer RNA (tRNA) molecules are approximately 80 nucleotides in length. The record is from Rfam by way of RNAcentral. Lineage: Eukaryota; Metazoa; Chordata; Testudines; Emydidae.
GGGGAUGUAGCUCAGUGGUAGAAUGCAUGCUUUGCAUGUAUGAGGCCCUGAGUUCAAUCCGCAGCAUCUCCA